Gadus macrocephalus (Pacific cod) is the source of this 1986-nucleotide long non-coding RNA. RefSeq lists it as uncharacterized. NCBI's taxonomy places the organism in Eukaryota, Metazoa, Chordata, Actinopteri, Gadiformes, Gadidae. The record is from RefSeq and is a predicted model, not a curated record. The transcript has 2 exons.
AGUCAGAAUCUACAGUCACCCCUGCUAAAUAUUAUAUAUUUUCCUAUUGUUCUGCAUAUGUAUAUCUCAUCAGCAUCGCUGGGCUGCCUCAGUUCUUUGGCUGCAAAAAUUAAAAAAAAGUCUUUGGCUGCAUUCUCAGUUAUUUAUCUCAGUUUGACUGCACUCUCAUUUAUCCAUCCUCGUCAUUUUCACCACCACCACCUCUGAAGAUAAAAACCGUGUUGUCAUUAUAGAUUCCACCCUCUUCAUAUCCCCGCCUUCAUAUCCUCCAGAGUAGACUACUGCAAUGCCCUUCUCUUCGGUGCCCUGGAGCUCCCUCCCACUUGUACUGCGUCAAUGCACUUCCCUGUCCACUUUCAAACCUCUAUUGAAAACCCACCUCUUCACCCUGGCUUUUCCCUCCUACCCCAACGCCUCCUACCCUGACCUUGACCUGGGCUGACCAAUGCACCACCCCCUUCCAUUUCUUCUUCCCAUGUAUCUUUUACCGCCGUUUAAUGUAUUAUCUAGUUGUUUUGAUUUUUAUACUGUGUUUAACAAAUGUUCAGUGUCUGUUUUAUUGUCUCUGUUUGAUGUCUAAUGUUAUUUUAUUAACAUUUUGUUUUACCUUUACUGCACAGUGUCCUUGGGAGACAUGAAAGGCGAAUGAAAUAAAAUGUAUGAUUAUUUUUGUUAUUAUACAGCAUUUGUACUGAUAAAUCAUACUGAUAAUAAUGGUUAGCUAGCUACUUUUUCAAAAUCUGCCCAUUUUCAUCUUCUUCAUGGCCUACUCUCAUUUAUUUGUUAUGGCGUAUAGAGUUCAACGUCGUCAUAGCUGUGUACGUAUUUAGCUUUCUGCAAUUCAAGGCCCACCACGGUCGUGCCACUUGGGGAGGGGCCACUCAUUUACUCCCCCUCUACUAAUAUCGACUUGGUUGCAACGCUAACAGUUUGUGAGUGCUUGCGUGUGUUUGUAUGUGGGAGACAGUGAGAGAGAGAGUAGCGCACAGCUUUGGCUGGCCUGACGGCGCAGCAAGGAACUUAUAUAUUAUGCAAUAGUUAGCUCGCAAAAUCAGCCCGGCGGUCGGCCCCGAAACGUUAACAGCCCACCGGGAAUUCUCUCGACUCUCCCGGUUACCACGCCGCUACUGAGCGUCAUACUGUCAGUCCUCUUAUCCUCAAUAAUAACACCAAACUCCUCCAUCAAGUCCUUGAGCAACAUCUUUUCAAAUGUCAAAAAGUUGGAUCCCCUUUGACGUGCCAUAUCUUAAUUUAACGUGUCGUGCCAUAUCUUAAAAAAUUUACAAGCCAAGCUAGCUUGCUACAAGUAUCAAGUGCUGUAGUGUCAGCUGUAACAGUUAAGGUAACAACGGUUACAUUUUUUCAAAAAGCAACGAGUUUACGAGAAGGCUUGGGAAUAUAUUGUGGUCCAUCUUUAUCAAACCUACAUCCUGAAUUUGUUCACAUUUCGCCGGAAUCCAUCAUGGCAGACACUGAACACAAACUAAUCCUAUUUUAAUCCUUGUUUAAACUAGUUUACCUAAUCCAGAGUUACAACUAAAAUGUGCAACGCAUCUGUGAUUAAUUAUGAAUCAGUUUUAACCUAGAUUUACUUACCAUAGAAACCCUAAACCAGGAUUAAUCAAUCCAUGUUGGUGCAACCCAGCCAUAUUGUUUGUAUUACUGCUGAAACAGUGGGUUCCCAUUGACUGUUCUCCCAACUGUAAUGGUAUUAUUAAGUACUCAUAUCGGGCAUUCACACUUCAAAAACCUCUACAGCGGUAUUCAUUUGUCAUCAACUUGUUUAACUGAAUUUAUUUUUAAAAUGAAACUUUGAAAUUGACUAUUCUGCUUGUUAAGGUCAUAUGACACACCCCCAGUGUAAUUACAUUCCCAACCUUUAGUCUCUCCUAACCAUUGCUAGCUAAACGAAAGACAAUUCCAACCCCAAACAAAAUAAGAAGCACAUAUCAAAAAGAGAUAUGUAUUUAUAACUCUGCACCUUCA